GCGUCGGUGGUACAACGGUUUAGCACACGCUCCUGGAAAGAGUAAAAUUUGUGUUCGAUUCCCGGCUGACGCA
Parelaphostrongylus tenuis is the source of this 73-nucleotide non-coding RNA. NCBI's taxonomy places the organism in Eukaryota, Metazoa, Nematoda, Chromadorea, Rhabditida, Metastrongylidae. The record is from the annotation of a GenBank genome assembly.